AGUUUUGGAAUUUUUGUAAAUUAGGUGAUGUAGUUUAUUUAUGUGACUUUGAUAGCUUGAUCUUUUAAAUGAAAAUGACUCUUUGAUUGCAUAUUUUGUGUUUGUUAUAUGUGCAACAAAAUCGAUGUAGUCAAGCCAAAUGGCAUCCAACCAAGAGGGUCUAGCUCAGUUAGUUGAGCAGAGUAUGUGAGUUUUGUAAAUCUCUUGGUAUCGUAUUCAAUUCAUAUGGAUAGAAAAAAAAUAGAAGCCAAAUGGCGUCCGGCGAUCCAUGUAGAUAACUUUACUAGUGGUAUGAUCUAUGUACCUGACUUUGCUAGUCAUAUGAUCCAUGUAGUCGAUUUCCUGGUGAGGUAAAGCUUUGUUGUUUAUUUGUGCAAGAAAAUCCAUGUUGUAUAGAGGAUGCUGAUGAGUACGGGGUUUUGGCUUCUCUAUUUUUCAUGUCGGGGAAUUUGAUAUACA
RNAcentral lists this long non-coding RNA (459 nucleotides) under Glycine max (soybean). Its description in RNAcentral is "long non-coding RNA (GMAX_LNC001998)". Lineage: Eukaryota; Viridiplantae; Streptophyta; Magnoliopsida; Fabales; Fabaceae. The record is from RNAcentral.